UGCAGAGGGUGCAAGCGUUAACCGGAAUUACUGGGCGUAAAGCGCGCGUAGGUGGUUAGUUAAGUUGGAUGUGAAAUCCCCGGGCUCAACCUGGGAACUGCAUCAAAACUGACUGACUAGAGUAUGGUAGAGGGUGGUGGAAUUUCCUGUGUAGCGGUGAAAUGCGUAGAUAUAGGAAGGAACACCAGUGGCGAAGGCGACCACCUGGACUGGUACUGACACUGAGGUGCGAAGGCGUGGGGAGCAAACAGG
This 252-nucleotide ribosomal RNA is filed under the name uncultured Pseudomonas sp. RNAcentral describes it as "partial 16S ribosomal RNA". It matches the Rfam family "Bacterial small subunit ribosomal RNA", at positions 524 to 776 of the family's 1533-position model. Lineage: Bacteria; Pseudomonadati; Pseudomonadota; Gammaproteobacteria; Pseudomonadales; Pseudomonadaceae. The record is from RNAcentral.